AAAAAAAAAGAAAAGGAACAUCAGACGGAAUUCAUACGUCCCAUAUCUAUCUAUCCACGUUAGAAGCACAGGGACGAUUAAGCAGUACACGGAGGGACUGGGCAACAACAGAUGAGAGAAACUAACGGAAAUAUAUGUUCAUCUCAAGUUGCUGCAACCAGGGUUGAGAAUGUAUCUGCCACAGAUGACCCAAAAAAUGCUUGGAGCCAACCCUUCUUACUGGCAUACUCCAAAUAGAAACUGAAUUUCUCCUUUGCAUUUGGAAU
Molecule: unclassified non-coding RNA, 266 nt
Filed under: Hevea brasiliensis (rubber tree)
Lineage: Eukaryota; Viridiplantae; Streptophyta; Magnoliopsida; Malpighiales; Euphorbiaceae
Source: RNAcentral